Molecule: ribosomal RNA, 253 nt
Filed under: uncultured bacterium
Lineage: Bacteria
Description: partial 16S ribosomal RNA
Rfam family: Bacterial small subunit ribosomal RNA
Source: RNAcentral
CACGUAGGGGGCGAGCGUUGUCCGGAAUUAUUGGGCGUAAAGAGCUCGUAGGCGGUCUGUCGCGUCUGCUGUGAAAACUCAGGGCUUAACCCUGAGCUUGCAGUGGGUACGGGCAGACUAGAGUGCGGUAGGGGAGACUGGAAUUCCUGGUGUAGCGGUGAAAUGCGCAGAUAUCAGGAGGAACACCGGUGGCGAAGGCGGAUCUCUGGGCCGUAACUGACGCUGAGGAGCGAAAGCAUGGGGAGCGAACAGG